UUUAAAACGUAACACGUCAUGCCAUCCACGAUUGAUCAAUUUCUACGAAAUUUUGUAACAUUCAAUGAAUCAUGCAUAACAAUACGCUUUCAUUUUUACAUAUAUUUCAUUCUAAAUUCCAUCCUCUAAUCUUGACUUUCUCAUUUCGAUCCGCACAAAAAUUGAAUAGAUACGAGUCAACAAUCUUAUCUCAACAAUCCAUCCCCUCCCACAUAUAAAUUUCAUUCAAUAUCCAUCCAUACAUACACACGCGUUUCCAUAAACAUUGUUCCCAAUUCGCGAUCUUGAAAUUAACAAACCAAAUUAGGAGCAGAAGCCUCCGCCUACCGGGAUUCCCUUUAACCAGGCGUGCAACAUCGGCUCGAAAACGUGACCAUCGAUGGUUUCCUACGGAGACCUCCCCCCUCCGGAUCCGCGGAUCACCGACGUCAGCUGAAAGUGGCCCGCUUGCACGCAUUUCCCAUUUCGAUACCACCACCACCACCACCACCACCAUGCCGUGUAUCACGAAACCCAGAUUUCGUUUUGUAUCCGUCGGUCGGUGUGCACCGACUGCAGUGACCGCAGCCAUCCGUCGCAUAUAGGAUUCGUGGCUGGGAAUCGGAUUCACGUGCACCUAUGUUGUUAUUACCGUGCCAUAGGGGUAUUUGUAUACUGGCUUACCAAGAGCACCGAUAUUGAAUCCGAUAAUAGACAUUACUUCUGCCCCGUUCCCGAUCCCUUCUCGAACCCUCUCCCCCCCCUCCUUCCCCUUUGUCCCGCUCCCGCCCACGUAACGCCGCCCACGGAACCGACAGAUCCGCCAAAUAUCGCGGCGGGGCGCGUGAAACGCGUGCGUGAACGCAAUCAUCAUCCGUGUGUGUGUGCGCGUGUGUACACAACCGAAACCCGAGUUACGUUUCGAUACGUGUGCAGGGAAGAGGAGAGAGGGGGCGCACAACACCGAAAACGAGCGUACACAGCGAUCGAGUUUCCAAGGGGGGCUCUGGGGGCUGGUUGCUGCCGUAGAUUCGCGCCUGUCCAAACAGUCAAAAUGCCUGUACACACGUGUGUAUAUAUAUAUGUAUAUGUAUAUGUAUGUAUGUGUGGGUGCGGAUGUGUGUUUGAUCAUCGUGGAGAUUGUCCAUCGGGCAGAUUUUCCAAGCUAAUCAGCGCGACGAGGUCCGAUGAGAGAGAUAAGGGUGGAGUAAGGCGGGAUACGGGGGAAUUUUGGUUUGGAGAAGGAUAUUAGGAGGAAUUGAAAGUUUCGUAUUACGUAAUGAUUCAAGAAUCUCGAUAUUAUUGGUAAGAUAUUAUUUCUUGGAAAUAAAUAUAUCUUAUUAAAUAAAACAUGAUUGGAUCGUAUUGAAAUUGGGAAAAAUUUGGACCGCUAUAACUUCGAGAAUAAAUGAGCGAUUCUCGAUCAAUGAGCGAGCGAUAGAAACGUGGAACUUUGCUUUUUAAAACGGUUCUUCAUUUAUCCCGAUACGACUUCCCGUUCCCGAGAUAUCGUCGUGCAAGAAAGAGGUAAUUUUUAAUCGUUUCUCCAUCUUUUUCCUUACUCCCUCCCUUUCCUGUUCCAAAGUCCGCGGAAAUGAUAAAUGCGAUUCCUGGAAGAAAGAACGCGUUCAAAUCUGCAUUUCCAAGAAAAAAAAAUGUAGAUCGCCGAGUCAUUCGAGUAACUUCAUUCGAACUCUAUAAUUUAACGCGCGUUUUUUAUAUCGAUCGGUCAUUCGAAUAUCUUCUUUACCUACACAAAAAAUUUCGCGAUCAUAUAACGAGGAUAACGAAGGCCGAGAACUGAACGCGAUCGAAAUAUUAAAUUCGAUAAAUUAAUUCCUCGAAGGAUCGAUAAGGCGAACGGUGUAUCGAGGAAAAAAUGUCAACAAAUUCUUGCCAAGCCUCGUUUCCCCAUCCACAACAAACGGUUUAUCGAACCAGGCAAUAUUCGCCUUUCACACGUUCCUCGACGCGUUCAGUCCCGAAUUCGCCACGGUGGAAUACGGCCGCGUGGCAAACACGCAAUAGUGUACUUACGCAACGCGGUUCGCGCGUGCUACGUAGUGCUGCGUAGUGUACACGCGUGUCGUUCACGCGUAUCUCUCAUCGAAAUGCCGCACGGUCGUGUGUCAACGGGAGAUGGUGUUCACGUGCCUAUUUAACAUUUUAACGGAUACGUUGUCACGUAUGCGGUGGCCGUCACCUGUCAUCGUUCGACGUGACUUUGUUCUAAACGGAAGACAUUCGAAAAGAAAUUGGUUUGCCAACGAAUACCUCGAUCGUUCGUCCUUUUAUCUGGAAAUCUGGAUCAAUGAAAAAUCGAGGUAACGACACACCUAGGCGACAGCGAAUCGCACGGCGAACAAAAGAUCCAAUACCAUUUCCCAACUCCCAUUGUUCGGGCACACGCGAAACGGUACGAAGACACCGCAAAUCCCUUCAAAAGGGAGCAGCGCGUCAAUGUUGGUGAACAGUUAUCGAAGCGUCAGACCACCUUGGUGCAUAAAGGGGGCAUUAAACAUCCUGCGAGCAAUCACGAUCCAGCAAAGCGAUCUAGGUCGAUACGUUUCGUAGGUAACGAUUAAUACGAUCCUCUAUCGUAAUCGAGGGGCGGCUAUGGAAUACGCAUGGACGGUCAGAGAGGGAUGUCUGUUGGCCUCCGCGGAUCCAUUCGAUCGGAGAUUCGCUCGGACGAGGAGUAGACUGGGCUCGAUCGGUAAUAUGGGACGUGCGUUACCGAGAGAGGGUUGCGACGGAUCAUGCCAGGACAUAAUACAUACAUACAUACAUACAUACAUACAUACAUACAUACAUAUCGUAUUCGACGGGAUUACGUAACGUGGUGCUCUCUGAUUGGCUAAUGGGCAACGCUGCAAAUGGUUCGACAUCGUUAUGGUUAGGCGAAACGACUCUAUUGUUGUCCCGGGAUACAAUGAGCGAGCUAUAUUACUCGAUAAUUAGCGCGAACAGUUCGGAAGGAAAAAAAGUGUUACUGGAAAGAAGGAGGAAGAAGAAGUGGAUUGUAAGAUGUAAUUUUGAGAAAUUGGGAAAAGGAUGUGAAGAUUUGAAGUUUUGAAGUUGUAAAUUUGGUAUUGUAGAUAAUCGUAGGAUAUGAAGGAUCGAUUCUGGAAAACAAAAUGUUAAAAAUAUAAAAAUUUCGAAUGGAGGAUUAAUAAUUA
Molecule: RNA transcript, 3158 nt
Organism: Apis mellifera (honey bee)
Lineage: Eukaryota; Metazoa; Arthropoda; Insecta; Hymenoptera; Apidae
Exons: 3
Source: RefSeq, a predicted model, not a curated record